AUUGAACGCUGGCGGCAGGCCUAACACAUGCAAGUCGAGCGGAUGAAGGGAGCUUGCUCCUGGAUUCAGCGGCGGACGGGUGAGUAAUGCCUAGGAAUCUGCCUGGUAGUGGGGGAUAACGUCCGGAAACGGGCGCUAAUACCGCAUACGUCCUGAGGGAGAAAGUGGGGGAUCUUCGGACCUCACGCUAUCAGAUGAGCCUAGGUCGGAUUAGCUAGUUGGUGGGGUAAAGGCCUACCAAGGCGACGAUCCGUAACUGGUCUGAGAGGAUGAUCAGUCAACCUGGGACCUGGACACGGUCCAGACCUCUACGGGAGGCAGCAGGGGGGGAUAUUUGGCCAUGGGCGGAAGCCUGAUCCAGCCAUGCCGCGUGUGGUGAGAAGGUCCUCGGAUUUUAAAGCACUUUAAGUUGGGAGGAAGGGCAGUAAGUUAAUACCUUGCUGUUUUGACGUUACCAACAGAAUAAGCACCGGCUAACUUCGUGC
This 485-nucleotide ribosomal RNA is filed under the name uncultured bacterium. Its description in RNAcentral is "partial 16S ribosomal RNA". It matches the Rfam family "Bacterial small subunit ribosomal RNA", at positions 30 to 508 of the family's 1533-position model. The record is from RNAcentral.